CAUGCUGGAGAUGAGGCACUAGGGCCCACUCUUGAAAGAACUAACUCCUUAAGAUCAGCCUUAAUCUCACUGAAGAAAGCUAUGGCUUAAAUCUAAAAUGUAACCAACUGCCACAUGCUUUAAACACAUGGUUCUCACAUGGUUAUGCUAUUUUAAGAGCUUCCGGAACCUCUGAGAUAGGGCCUAGCUAGUGGAAUGCAGGGGCCUGGCUCCUAUCUUGCUUUCUGCUUCCUGGUCCAGCAUGCUGUGAGCGGCCUUCAUCCACCGAAAGUGGAGCUGACCUGUCAUGAUGAACUGAAACCCUCUGAAGGAGCUGGAGGGGCCAUCAUCUAACAACCCCCAUACAAGAUGCAUAUUCCCUGAGGAUACUGUGAGCUAAGGCCGUGUAAAGCUGGCCCUUCCGCUGAGGGAGAAGUCAUCCGAGUCACGUGGCCCUGGCGGUCCCUCCUCGGAACAUGACGGUGACUUCUCUCCCCCGUUCCUGUUAUAGGAACCUUGUCACCCAUGAGGAAGGGUAUAAUACAUUUCCACAGUCAGGCAAGUACUCUCGCUCAUAGGCUGCUUCUGUUUAGAGGUCACGGUGAUGCUGAAGGAAGGGUAGUGGCCCUAAUGACUAAGUCAUUCCAUGUGGGUUCUGCCUCUUAAGAUUUCUGUUAACUCAUCUUUACCACACUGGGGACCAAGCCUGCAAUAUAUAAACCCUUGAGAACACAAGCCUACUGGAACUUUAGCAACUAAUCCACUAUUCUAAUUUAAUCCACUGUCUUCCUUCACUACCAGCACAAGGGUUUGUCUGGGCCCACCUGCUUUUUAACAGUUUUCUCCAAGAUUGAAACAUUUUGAUUGGAAGCUCCUUAAGGUAAACAACUCAAAAUAGUUUCAGGAAGUCCUUGAAACUGAACAGAUUCAGUAGGCCCCUCCCUGCCAGAGUAGGCAAUAAAAACUGAGUCCCUCUCAGAGAAGUAAAUCUGAGCUGCAAAAAGACUCCUAGACAAGCCCAACUGCAAAGCAGACUCUUGAGACCAAACCAGCUGCCCAGAAGAAACAAAAAUCAGCCAAGCUGCUUGGAAGAGGUAUAGAUCAACUGAGUCACUUGGAAAGAACACAUUCUGACUUGUUGGGCUGCCUGUAGGCUGUGCAGUGUGCUCUAGUAGGUUCUCAGCUUUUGUGAGCUGUCACCCAUGCUGGGGUGAUACAGCUGUCUUGAGUCAUUUCUGCUCUUGUAAGUAACUCCUGACCUACAUUCCUGUAAGUAGCCUCAAUAAAACUCAUCAGUUCAUCAA
Molecule: long non-coding RNA, 1283 nt
Organism: Rattus norvegicus (Norway rat)
Lineage: Eukaryota; Metazoa; Chordata; Mammalia; Rodentia; Muridae
Source: RefSeq, a predicted model, not a curated record